CAGCCGCCACGGGAAUACGGAGGGUGCAAGCGUUACUCGGAAUCACUGGGCGUAAAGGACGCGUAGGCGGAUUAUCAAGUCUCUUGUGAAAUCUAACGGCUUAACCGUUAAACUGCUUGGGAAACUGAUAAUCUAGAGUAAGGGAGAGGCAGAUGGAAUUCUUGGUGUAGGGGUAAAAUCCGUAGAUAUCAAGAAGGAUACCUAUUGCGAAGGCGAUCUGCUGGAACUUAACUGACGCUAAUACGUGAAAGCGUGGGGAGCAAACAGGAUUAGAUACCCGAGUAGUCCCUGUCUCUUAUAC
This 301-nucleotide ribosomal RNA is filed under the name uncultured bacterium. RNAcentral's name for it is "partial 16S ribosomal RNA". It matches the Rfam family "Bacterial small subunit ribosomal RNA", at positions 509 to 807 of the family's 1533-position model. The record is from RNAcentral.